Molecule: ribosomal RNA, 1369 nt
Filed under: uncultured bacterium
Lineage: Bacteria
Description: bacterial SSU rRNA
Rfam family: Bacterial small subunit ribosomal RNA
Source: RNAcentral
GAACGAACGCUAGCGGCGUGGAUAAGACAUGCAAGUCGGACGGGAUUACUUUUGGUAGCAAUACCGAAAGUGAUCCAGUGGCGAACGGGUGCGUAACACGUGGGCAAUCUACCGAGAAGUGGGGGAUAGCUCGCCGAAAGGCGAAUUAAUACCGCAUGUGAUCAGAGGCGACAUCGCUUCGAAAUCAAAGGUGGCGCAAGCUACCGCUUUUUGAGGAGCCCGCGGCCUAUCAGCUUGUUGGUGAGGUAACGGCUCACCAAGGCUUUGACGGGUAGCUGGUCUGAGAGGACGACCAGUCACACUGGGACUGAGACACGGCCCAGACACCUACGGGUGGCAGCAGUCGAGAAUUUUUCUCAAUGGGGGAAACCCUGAAGGAGCGACGCCGCGUGGAGGAUGAAGGUCUUCGGGUUGUAAACUCCUGUCAUUUGGGAACAAGGCUCCGAAGAGUAACUGUUUCGGAGUUGAUAGUACCAGAAGAGGAAGAGACGGCUAACUCUGUGCCAGCAGCCGCGGUAAUACAGAGGUCUCAAGCGUUGUUCGGAUUCAUUGGGCGUAAAGGGUGCGUAGGCGGCGCGGUAAGUCGGGUGUGAAAUUUCGAGGCUUAACUUCGAAACUGCAUUCGAUACUGCCGUGCUUGAGGACUGGAGAGGAGACUGGAAUUUACGGUGUAGCGGUGAAAUGCGUAGAUAUCGUAAGGAAGACCAGUGGCGAAGGCGGGUCUCUGGACAGUUCCUGACGCUGAGGCACGAAGGCCAGGGGAGCAAACGGGAUUAGAUACCCCGGUAGUCCUGGCAAUAAACGGUGCACGUUUGGUGUGGGAGGAUUCGACCCCUUCUGCGCCGGAGCUAACGCGUUAAACGUGCCGCCUGGGGAGUACGGUCGCAAGAUUAAAACUCAAAGAAAUUGACGGGGGCCCGCACAAGCGGUGGAGUAUGUGGCUUAAUUCGAUGCAACGCGAAGAACCUUACCUGGCCUUGACAUGCAUCUCUAAGCUGGUGAAAGCCAGUGAGUCCCGAAAGGGACAAUUUGCACAGGUGCUGCAUGGCUGUCGUCAGCUCGUGUCGUGAGAUGUUGGGUUAAGUCCCGCAACGAGCGCAACCCCUGUGAACUGUUGCCACCCCGGCGUGAGUCGGGAGCACUCUGGACAGACUGCCUCGCUUAAACGAGGAGGAAGGUGGGGAUGACGUCAAGUCAGUAUGGCCCUUACGGCCAGGGCUGCACACGUACUACAAUGCCCGGCACAAAGGGAAGCGAGACCGUCAGGUGGAGCAAAUCCCCAAAAACCGGGCCCAGUUCAGAUUGUCGUCUGCAACUCGACGGCAUGAAGUUGGAAUCGCUAGUAAUGGCGCAUCAGCUACGGCGCCGU